CGAAGGAUGCUUCGAGAAACCGGAACAAGAGCAAAAGCCUGGCGACUGCGUCCUCGCGCCAAAAAGCUCGCUUACUUCAUUGACGUACCGGUACUUCGCCCACCAAGCCCUACACAACGCCACUAUUCAACCGGAUGAAGGCAACCUGAACACUCUUCUAAAUAUGACUCGGGCAGCCGCUCAGUUGUCCAAAGGCCUUGUAAUCAGAGUCGAGUUCACCACCGUCGAGAGCGCCUGCAACAGCUCGGUUACCUAUUCCGAGGAGACGUGCCCGCCAAUUGGAAGUGAUGCCAAUGGACUGUGCCAGGCAGGGUUCCUGUACUAUGGGCACCUGAUGCUUUAUCAUGCCAUGUGUAGACACAUCUAGGAAUAAUGCCACCUGAAGUCAUUUUUAU
Molecule: long non-coding RNA, 395 nt
Organism: Dermacentor silvarum
Lineage: Eukaryota; Metazoa; Arthropoda; Arachnida; Ixodida; Ixodidae
Exons: 3
Source: RefSeq, a predicted model, not a curated record